This 497-nucleotide ribosomal RNA is filed under the name uncultured bacterium. Its description in RNAcentral is "partial 16S ribosomal RNA". It matches the Rfam family "Bacterial small subunit ribosomal RNA", at positions 28 to 507 of the family's 1533-position model. The record is from RNAcentral.
GAUGAACGCUGGCGGCGUGCCUAAUACAUGCAAGUCGAGCGAACGGACGAGAAGCUUGCUUCUCUGAUGCUAGCGGCGGACGGGUGAGUAACACGUGGAUAACCUACCUAUAAGACUGGGAUAACUUCGGGAAACCGGAGCUAAUACCGGAUGAUAUUUUGAACCGCAUGGUUCAAAAGUGAAAGACGGUCUUGCUGUCACUUAUAGAUGGAUCCGCGCUGCAUUAGCUAGUUGGUGAGGUAACGGCUUACCAAGGCAACGAUGCAUAGCCGACCUGAGAGGGUGAUCGGCCACACUGGAACUGAGACACGGUCCAGACUCCUACGGGAGGCAGCAGUAGGGAAUCUUCCGCAAUGGGCGAAAGCCUGACGGAGCAACGCCGCGUGAGUGAUGAAGGUCUUCGGAUCGUAAAACUCUGUUAUUAGGGAAGAACAUAUGUGUAAGUAACUGUGCACAUCUUGACGGUACCUAAUCAGAAAGCCACGGCUAACUACGUG